CGGAGGAUCCAAGCGUUAUCCGGAAUCAUUGGGUUUAAAGGGUCCGUAGGCGGUUUAGUAAGUCAGUGGUGAAAGCCCAUCGCUCAACGGUGGAACGGCCAUUGAUACUGCUAGACUUGAACUAUUAGGAAGUAACUAGAAUAUGUAGUGUAGCGGUGAAAUGCUUAGAGAUUACAUGGAAUACCAAUUGCGAAGGCAGGUUACUACUAAUGGAUUGACGCUGAUGGACGAAAGCGUGGGUAGCGAACAGGAUUAGAUACCCUGGUAGUCCACGCCGUAAACGAUGGAUACUAGCUGUUGGGAGCGAUCUCAGUGGCUAAGCGAAAGUGAUAAGUAUCCCACCUGGGGAGUACGUUCGCAAGAAUG
RNAcentral lists this ribosomal RNA (366 nucleotides) under uncultured organism. RNAcentral describes it as "bacterial SSU rRNA". It matches the Rfam family "Bacterial small subunit ribosomal RNA", at positions 526 to 896 of the family's 1533-position model. The record is from RNAcentral.